GUUGUAUUGGCGUUACCUAUAAAACAAGACAUGCAUGCUCAGAGAGAACACACAUGAGAAGCUGUGACAGGAAGGAGAACGCAUCAUGAAGCGUUCCACUUCCACUUCAACUCCAUCUUCGUCCUUGUUGCUCUUGACGGAAGCCAUGAGCCAACGAGUCCUCCGCCGCCGGUGCCAGGUCCCCAGAUGUCUCCGUCUCCAGUUCCAAUGCCUCCGGUCCAUCCUCCGCCGCCACCGCCGCCCAUGCCGGAGAUGUCAGCACUGGCGCCGCACCGCAAGACCCUGCAGCAAGCUGUCAGGGACGCCAUUUAAUUAUGCAUGAAACAGUGCUGCUCAUAUAUUAUUUUCGUCUAUGUAUGAUCUAUCAUGGUCCUAAGUAAUUGAGACGAUAAAUAAUGAUAUUAGCGUACAUAU
Long non-coding RNA from Triticum aestivum (bread wheat), 414 nucleotides. RefSeq lists it as uncharacterized. Lineage: Eukaryota; Viridiplantae; Streptophyta; Magnoliopsida; Poales; Poaceae. The transcript is spliced from 2 exons. The record is from RefSeq and is a predicted model, not a curated record.